GUGUGGUGGCAACACUAAACAAGGCUUCCUAGCUUUCCCUUUUGGUCUAGGAAAAGACCUCUUAUCCUUUCAGACUGACUGAAUGAAUGGAGAAAGCAUUAAGUGCUGACUAGUUAUGCCAGGCCCUGUGCUAAGUGCUGCAGACACAAAUAGAAAGAGAGUCCCUAUGGUAGAGUUUUUGGUUGUUAUUUUUUAUUAAAGCUUUUUAUUUUCACAACAUAAUGCAUAAAUAGUUUUAAACAUUCUCCCUUGCAAAACUCAAAUUUUUCUCCCUCCCUCCUCCUAUCCUCACACCUAGAUGUCAAGUAAUUCAAUAUAUGUUAAAGUGUGUGGUUCUUGUGUACAUAUUUCCACAAUUGUCAUGCUGCACAAGAAAAAUCAGAUCAAAAAGGGAAAAAAUGAGAAAGAAAACAAAAUGCAAGCAAACAACAACAAAAAAGUGAAAAUACUAUGUUGCGAUCAACAUUCAAUCUCUACAAUCCUCUCUCUGGGUUAUGCUCAGAAUUUAAAAGAGAAUAUAGGGGGAAUGGUGUCCAUGGAAGGAAAUUUGCUUUGGGGAGUCACUGGUGAACAAGGCAGCCGAUUGACAUACCCUUUCCAAGAUACAUGAGAAAUUUUCUUUGCUAACUCUGUGCCUUGGGAUCUGCGAGCAUAGUGAUUGGUUGAGGGAAUGAAAGAUAAAAUUGGAAUGCUUUACUUUUAUACUCAAGGUUAACUAACUAGCAGGAUGUGAAAUCAUCCUAUCUUGGCUGCCAAGUGCUCUGGGACUCUUUGAGCCCAGAUGAAUAUUUAUUAAUUUAUCAUUAGGGAAAAGAGGAUAAGAAUUAAAUGGUUCUCCUAGAAGUGAAAGCAAAAAACAAUGGAUGUUUAUCGGAUAUUAGCCACUUGGCAAGAGAACAUCUUUGAAAUAUUUUCUCAAGUUAAGAUUUUAUGGAGAUUUUCUCAAGUUAAGAUUUUGUUUUACUUGGAAUUCUAUUCUACUAUCCCCUAUACUAGGGAAAGGAAAAUAAUCUUCCAAUAUACAGAUAAUCUAGCCAGAGGGGAAAAAAAAACCUUAAUUAUUAAUAUGGUUACAUAUCGUUGUGUAUGUGAUGUAUAUUCUAUAAAAAGUAAUAGCACUUCAUUUUCAUUUCCCAGAGGGAAGAUGAAAAUUAAAAAAUUCUAAGAAGGAAGCAUACACUACAAAAAUUAGCAUUUAUAUAGUGUUACAAAGUUUUUCAAGCACUUUGAAUAUAUUGUCUCAUGUGAUCUUAAUAGCAGGUGAGGUGUAGGUACUGUUAUUAUUUCUAUUUCAUAGAUGGAAAACUUGAGCCUGAGGGGUUAUAACUUGCUUAGGCUCACAUGUAGUAUCUGAAGUAGGUUUUAAACUUGGGAAUUCUUGAUUCCAAACCCAGCACCCUAUCCAUUGUAUCACCUCAUUGCCUCUUAUACUAAGAAAUUAUAAGCCACUAAUUGAGGGGGUAAUUGUUUAGUAGGCUCCUAUUCAACUCAGUAUCUUUGGUUAUUAUUGUAGUUCAGAAGCCUUCAGAAGCCUUCAUAACUGGGGUUUUUAAAUGGUACCAGGCUUGAAGAUCCUUCUUUUUAAGUAUCCUUUCUUGUAUUAAGCUAUUUCUCUUUUACUUCAUCUUGGUUUUGCCUCCCCGCCCUCCUCUCUCCUCUCCAGUAAAGCUAUUUUUCUUUCAAUGUUUGGCAAGAGUUAAAUGUUUAUGCCCUAGUUUGUGGGUUUUAUAGCCCAGAAAAGUAAAUUUCAGUAGAACUUCUUAAACUGUAUUUGCUUAGAAAAACUAUGGGAAGAAUGAUCCUUUCUGUGGACUUUUUUGUGUUGUGCUGGUCUUAAACUUGUUUGCCACCACUCCCUGAAAUGAUUAUUGCUGUAGUCAAAAACAUUCUCUUAAGGAGUUAUCUACUUGAUAUGGCUUCUUUUGGAAGAGGCUAAUUGUACUUUAUGCUGAAAGUUUCAAAGUUUAAAUCAGUUGUAGAAUUGUUUUCUUUAGACUUCACUGUACUUGAUUAAUUAGAGAUUUUUAAAUGGUUUAAUCCCCUCUUUAUGAUCUUUUCUUAAAAGAAACUUUAGUCCUCAUUGACAGGCUUUUCGUUUGUUCAUUCUGACCCACCUUGGCAUUUGUUAUAGCAUUUGGAAUAUAAAUUAGGAAGCCUCUACAGAUGGGGUGAGACAGUGGUGUGAGGCUAAACAGGCUUGAAUUUCUGUGUCCAUCUCUCUCAUCUUUGCUGCCUGAGUGACCUUCAAAUCGGUCAUCGACUCUCCUUAGGCUUCUGUUUCCUCAUCUAGCUAGCUAUUGGGCCUUAGGGAUGGCUGAAUCAGCAGCAGCAACUUCUGGAGCAAUUUCUUGGCCCAGACAUGGCAAGAAAGUCAUGCAACUGGUCAUUAGACUAUUCCAUGCGAUCUUUUGCUGGCACUGGGAAAGGACAGUUGCAUUGCUUAUACAUGGAUCCAGGUUGCAGUCCUCACCAGUCUCAGUCUCAGGGCAAGUAGGAGCAUUAACACACCACAGCUAACAUUGAAGGGGGAGGAGGGACCCUGGCUCCAGUGCUAGGGGGAAAAUGCUUGAGGUUCCUCAUAGGCUAGAGCACAGCCCAGGAGAGCAGUGACCACACCCCUUUUUAGACAGGCUACCUAUAGAAGAAUUGAAAACUGAAAGACUCCUACCUAGAACUAGCUCUGAAGACAUCAUAAAAAACCUGGGAUAGGCUCCUCCACCCCUGAAACAGAAUCAAAUUUUAGCAUAAAGUUACAAUUCAAGAAACAGGCAAGAAAAUGAGCAAAUAAAAAAAAGAACCUGGCCAUAGAAAACAGGAAGGAUCAAAACAGUCAAUAGACAACCAAGUCAAAAUAAUGACAUUCAAAGCCUCAAGGAAAAAAUGUUAAUGGCACACAAGCCCAACAAGAAUUCCUGGAAGUACUCAAAAAAAGAUUUACAAAAUCAAGUAAGAUAGUAAAAAUUGGAAAAAUAAAUGACCAUGAUGAAAGAAAAUCAUGAAAAAAGAAUCAACAUUUUGGUAAAGGAAGGCAUAAAAAAUAGUGAAAAAAAUAGCACCUUAAAAUAGAGUAGCAGAGGAUUUUGGGAAGAUGAUGGAGUAGAUCAGAAAAUUUCAAGCUCUCCAGAUAUCCCCCCACAAAUAGAUCAAGUUUUCACCUCAAGUUGAAUAUAGACUGGUGAAAAACAAAAAAGACCUGCAAUAGAACAGUGGUCCUGCAGGGACUACCCGAAGCUGAAGACCCCAAGUUUGGGUUUUAACUUCCAGGCUAGCCUGGGAAACAGUAAGGAGGGGAACCCUAGAAUAGAUGGGUUCUGGGAACCACAGAAACUUUCACCUUCCCAACAGCAUGAGGAAUCAGGGCUCUGAGUGCAGGAAGGCUGAAGGAACCUCUGCUGAUUAGAAACACCAAGACCCAGUGUGGUUGCAAAGAUUGGGCCAGGGAUGCUGCUGGUUGCUUGCCAGGAAGAUGGAGAUUUUUGGUUUGGGGUUCCUAAACCCCAUUUUAGAGAGCUAAAAUGAAGCACCAUCCCCCCAAAGCCAGGAUUAGAGGUGUUUAUACUAAUAGUUAUUGAAAAAAUAAAAACAGAAAUACAACCAUAGAGAAUAACCAUGAGAAUAAGGAAAACCUAGGUUCAUCUUCAGAAGAGCAUCUUUCAGAAGUCAUCUACAGUAAAGCUUAAAAAAAAAAAAAAA
Molecule: long non-coding RNA, 3693 nt
Organism: Antechinus flavipes (yellow-footed antechinus)
Lineage: Eukaryota; Metazoa; Chordata; Mammalia; Dasyuromorphia; Dasyuridae
Exons: 2
Source: RefSeq, a predicted model, not a curated record